UCGGAAAAGAGUUAGUCACUCAUCUGUAGUGGGUCUUUGAGUGUGGCAGGCAAAUGCUAUCUUUAAGCUUAGACAGCAAGGCAAGGGGACUGUAAACCAAACGAGUUGAAGAAAUAUGGAGCAUCAAAAAACUUAUAAAUGAGAAAACUGAUGAGUUUAUGCUUUAGUAAGCAAGAUUGUCUUUUCCGACAAAUAGCGAGGAGAAGUCAAUUUCCCCGGAGUCUGAGAC
This 229-nucleotide non-coding RNA is filed under the name Gracilibacillus phocaeensis. Lineage: Bacteria; Bacillati; Bacillota; Bacilli; Caryophanales; Bacillaceae. The record is from RNAcentral.